UGGGGAAUAUUGGACAAUGGGGGGAACCCUGAUCCAGCCAUGCCGCGUGUGUGAAGAAGGCCUUAUGGUUGUAAAUCACUUUAAGCGAGGAGGAGGGUACUGGUAUUAAUACUACCAGCUACUGGACGUUACUCGCAGAAUAAGCACCGGCUAACUCUGUGCCAGCAGCCGCGGUAAUACAGAGGGUGCGAGCGUUAAUCGGAUUUACUGGGCGUAAAGCGUGCGUAGGCGGCUAAUUGAGUCGGAUGUGAAAUCCCCGAGCUUAACUUGGGAAUUGCAUUCGAUACUGGUUAGCUAGAGUGUGGGAGAGGAUGGUAGAAUUCCAGGUGUAGCGGUGAAAUGCGUAGAGAUCUGGAGGAAUACCGAUGGCGAAGGCAGCCAUCUGGCCUAACACUGACGCUGAGGUACGAAAGCAUGGGGAGCAAACAGG
RNAcentral lists this ribosomal RNA (430 nucleotides) under Pseudomonadota bacterium. RNAcentral describes it as "Proteobacteria bacterium partial 16S ribosomal RNA". It matches the Rfam family "Bacterial small subunit ribosomal RNA", at positions 355 to 776 of the family's 1533-position model. The record is from RNAcentral. Lineage: Bacteria; Pseudomonadati; Pseudomonadota.